ACGGAUAUGAUGAAACUGGUAGACGUAUUAGAUUUAGGUUCUAAAGAUUUUUUAAUCAUGGGGGUUCGAGUCCCUCUAUCCGUA
This 84-nucleotide transfer RNA is filed under the name Sebdenia flabellata. RNAcentral describes it as "tRNA-Leu". It matches the Rfam family "tRNA". Rfam says of the family: Transfer RNA (tRNA) molecules are approximately 80 nucleotides in length. Their secondary structure includes four short double-helical elements and three loops (D, anti-codon, and T loops). Further hydrogen bonds mediate the characteristic L-shaped molecular structure. tRNAs have two regions of fundamental functional importance: the anti-codon, which is responsible for specific mRNA codon recognition, and the 3' end, to which the tRNAs corresponding amino acid is attached (by aminoacyl-tRNA synthetases). tRNAs cope with the degeneracy of the genetic code in two manners: having more than one tRNA (with a specific anti-codon) for a particular amino acid; and 'wobble' base-pairing, i.e. permitting non-standard base-pairing at the 3rd anti-codon position. The record is from RNAcentral. Lineage: Eukaryota; Rhodophyta; Florideophyceae; Sebdeniales; Sebdeniaceae.